GGCCGCCGGGUCGGGGCCGGCGCCCGCCCUGAGGGGAGCGCGGCGGCAGCAGGCAGUGGCUGUGGGCUCCAGGACGGCUGUUGGUGUCUCUUCACAGAUCUGGAUAGUAACCUCUGACCUCUGUGAACAGCACUUCUGGACCUGCUGAUAGCCUCUGCUACUCAGCCUUACCUAGUGCAAUGUCAGGUGAGCAGACAAAAAUGGACUCAGUAUCUGCUUGUUUGGUUGGUUGCUUGCUUUUUCUUCAGCAGAAACUUCAUAAAACAAAGUUCCUGGUUCCAAGAACCAUUCUUUACAUUAACAUAGUAUCUGGUCAAAUUGGGAGCAAGGAAACCACCCCAAU
This is a long non-coding RNA of Empidonax traillii (willow flycatcher), 343 nucleotides long. RefSeq lists it as uncharacterized. The record is from RefSeq and is a predicted model, not a curated record. The transcript has 3 exons. NCBI's taxonomy places the organism in Eukaryota, Metazoa, Chordata, Aves, Passeriformes, Tyrannidae.